RNAcentral lists this long non-coding RNA (1217 nucleotides) under Bos indicus x Bos taurus (hybrid cattle). Its description in RNAcentral is "lncRNA (ENSBIXG00005000557.1)". Lineage: Eukaryota; Metazoa; Chordata; Mammalia; Artiodactyla; Bovidae. The record is from RNAcentral.
CGAACUGUAAAUAAUCUCCUGUAAAAAGAAUGUUUAUUAUUUUUGUUUUUGUUUGAACUGGCCAGCCUAAGGGAAACUAACACCAAAUUAUAUCUGUGUCAGUCAAGGGAGGUUUUCUUGUCCUUUGCAUCUUUUUCUUCCCCUGUUUCAAUCCUCAGGACCUAGAAACGGCCCAUGGUGUGGGAAAGCAGAAAUGAGAGCUUCAGAUGGAAAAAAAAAAAAAAGAAGAAACUGACCCUAUCACCUUCUCUACUGUGGCAGCCAGCCUGGAAGCAGGCCCACUUUGAAAAUUCAAGACCUUAUACUAUAGACUUUUUAAAAAAAAUUUAACCUGAAGGUACCUGUUUCUGAGCCUAAUGGUUUGGAAUUUCUUUGUAUUUUUAUCUUCCGGAUCAGUGGAAAGCUAAGCAAGAGGUGUGUAUUAACCCCCUCCUCAGGAAGUCAAUGUUAAGUCCACCAUGCUCCUCAAUUUGGCUGAAUUUAUGCUCCGGUUCUGAAGGUAACUUUAAAUUUCUUAAUUUCUCUGAAGUGUACCAGAUUUCUUCCUUCACAAUCUUCUUAGUGAUUUUCUUUUUGUUGUUGUUGUUCUAAUAGCCUUCUAAUGUAUCUCCUACUUUUUCUAAUACAUUUUUAAAGUUCUACCCAGAUAAAUUUUCCAUAACACUGCUUUGCCUGUACCAUUCUUUCCUGAGAGAUUAAGUGAUACAACAUAUAUGAAUAAGAAUUUUAAUGCAUUUAAAUUGUCACUGUGCUUAAAAUCCUGCAAUUGUUCCCAAUGCCUAGAAACGUUUCCUACUGUUGACCUAUAAGCUAGGAAAGGUGAUAAAAAUUUCCUGGAGUGAACCCACUUCUUGAUUGUCUCUUAGGUUUUGUUGCAGUUGUUCAGAUUAUUUCCCCACCCUCACAUCCAUGUCUAGGAAUUUAGAUUAUUUGCUUGUUGAUACUGAAACUAAGGUUUGGAAAUAUGGGUUAAAAACAAACCUCUAAAUACUGAAGAUGAACUCUGUAUCCCUCUACUCUGCCUUUUACCUAAUUCUCUACUAUUUUCUUCUCUAGAGAGGCUGGUUUUUUGUUCUCUUCCAGACACAUUUCUAAAACAUUCUACACCAUCUUCCUGCAUGGAUUUCACUCUUAAGUUUCACUUCUUAAUUUACCCUAGUCCUUCUUGUUCUUUAAACAACUGCAUACUCUUUACCUUGUAGUCCCUGUGGAGUUUU